Heterocephalus glaber (naked mole-rat) is the source of this 1191-nucleotide long non-coding RNA. The record is from Ensembl. Lineage: Eukaryota; Metazoa; Chordata; Mammalia; Rodentia; Bathyergidae.
GUAGCUCAGUGGUUCCGGUGCCUGCCUCACAAGCUCAAGGUCCCAAGUUUGAUCCCCGGUACCAAAAAAAAUUGAAAUGGUUUUAAACAUGAAUGUAAAAAAAAACAAGUGUUUUUUAAAAUUAUUCUAGGAAAAGCUACAGAGUUGUUUAAAAGCAGAAAUUAUCUAUUAAUAAGCUGAGCUUCUCUGAUGAGUUAAAGGCCAAUGAAACAGUAAAAGGAAGUUUCAAUAAAAGUUUGUUUAUAGAAUGAAAAAUCAAAGUUCAAUUAUACAGAGCUUAAAACAGGUCAUUUCACAGUGGGAGAACACUUGUGGUGAUUCUUAUUUCAUCUGUCCUAACUUCCGCCCUGGGUACGGCACACCCGUUCCAUGUGUGCACCAGCCUCUCUCUCCAGCGACAGAGCUGCUAGCCCUGACCUUCCAUUCACCCACACUCACCCGCAGGCUUCCUAACCAUGCAAGGCUGUGCAUCCCAGAGUGGUUAUCCAAAUGCCAGACAUGAAGUCAGUUUAGUGACAGUUGACCAGUUCCUCUUAAUGACAAAGAAUAAAAAAUCUAAUGCAUCUGAGCUAACAAAGGCAGAUACUGUUUCAUGAAACGUGUGCGUAUGCACAUGUGUAAUUAUAACAUGUAUUCUACUAUGUAUGUGUGCAUAUGUAUAAAUAACAUGUCCUAUAAUAAUUAUAUAAGCCUAUAACUGUAUUACUAGGUCAUAAUAUAAAAUGUUUUUAUUAUGGGCCACAUUAAAAAAUAAAUUUGGAAGGGCUGGGGAUUUAGCUCAGUGGCGCUGCAUCUGCCCUGCAAGUGCAAGGUCCUGAGUUCGAUCCCCGGUACUGGAAAAAAAAAAUUGGAAGACAUUGGCUUAGAAAAACCUAAUACGAAAAGGCUUGUAAAGGAUCAUCCAGUGUUAACUAUCACAGUUGAUGCAGUUUAAUACAUGAAGAAACUGAGUCCUGUAGUAAGGCACUUGGAUUGAAUAAAUACCUUUGCCAACACUUUGGUGUCAUCCCAUGAAGCCCAGGCACUGUGCGCAUGAGGAGUUCGCCUGGUGGGCUUGAACUGGGAGGCUCCAUGCAGUCCAGGCCUUCCCAGCCCCUACACCCCCAGUCCCUGGAAGCAUGCCCUCUGGGAACUGCAGUAGGAGCACCCUACCAUGCAGCUAUUAGAGCUGACUCCAGCUCUGCCACUCAC